AUGAGUAACGCGUAAGAAUCUAGCUCCAGGCUCGGGACAACAGCCGGAAACGAAUGCUAAUACCGGAUGUGCCAACGGUGAAAGAUUAUCACCUGGAGAUGAGCUUGCGUCUGAUUAGCUAGAUGGUGGGGUAAAAGCCUACCAUGGCGACAAUCAGUAACUGGUCUGAGAGGAUGACCAGUCACACUGGCACUGAGACACUGGCCAGACACCUACGGGUGAGCUGCAGACGAGAAUCUUCGGCAAUGGACGCAAGUCUGACCGAGCGACGCCGCGUGCGGGAUGAAGGCCUUCGGG
RNAcentral lists this ribosomal RNA (297 nucleotides) under uncultured cyanobacterium. RNAcentral describes it as "partial 16S ribosomal RNA". It matches the Rfam family "Bacterial small subunit ribosomal RNA", at positions 106 to 422 of the family's 1533-position model. Lineage: Bacteria; Bacillati; Cyanobacteriota. The record is from RNAcentral.